RNA transcript from Dendroctonus ponderosae (mountain pine beetle), 3395 nucleotides. It is a transcript of the gene named spermine synthase, with no coding region annotated. The transcript has 11 exons. Lineage: Eukaryota; Metazoa; Arthropoda; Insecta; Coleoptera; Curculionidae. The record is from RefSeq and is a predicted model, not a curated record.
UGGUCAGUCAGUAGUCAGAGAAAAAAUUGCCAGUAUUCAAAAUUCCAACUGGCAAUGUAAGUUUGGGCCUAGUUAAUGUUCACAUUUCCUGAAAAGUUAUCAGUUUUGUUGAUUAGAAGAGCACAGAAAUUUGCCAGAAUUGCAGCCUUUUUCCGCAUGAUUUGAGCACAAGCUCAACUAACCUCUAAAGAUGCCGAGUGUCACCCUCCCAUCAAAAUAACGUUAAUAAUUGAAUUUAAAAAGCGGGAAAAAGUCGCCAGUUUUGUCCCCUGGCUUGCAAUGGAGGCCACUAUUUUGAAUAUUCUGGCAGCAAGUGAAGUCCAGCACGCUUAUCCUGCAUUGCAAAAGGACGCAGUGGAUGCCAUUGCGAGCCGAAUAACUGAUAUAGUUUAUACGACUUUGGAGUGCAAAACCGCACAAAGUAUCGCAAAGAGAUGUAAUUUGUUGAAGUUUGUGAACAAGCUGUGCUACACUCCAGAGUUUCACUCUCAAGAGCACCACUACAAGGCGUACCUUCAGGAGUACGACCGACAGUGCAUUAAAGCUGGAAGCCCUGAGCUGGUAGACGCUAUCAAAGCAGAACUGCUUGAAAUAUCCAAUAGUGUUCACAGGGCGGUUAGCCAGUUCUAUCAAAGAAAAAAUGCUAAGACCAAAGAAGCCAUCGCAAGACAUGAGCUGAUUAAGCAAUGGGACGAGGAGAAACUAAAACUGAAGCCGAACUUCAGCUAUUCAAAAACCGUCUCCCAUUACGAAACGAGUCAAAGACUGAUAGAUGAUUUGUUGUUGGGAAAGGCCUCCCCAUCAAAUGUUGACCAGGCAGCUUUAAAGGACCAUCGAGAGAGGCAAGUUGCGUUCUCUUAUGCGUUGGUGAACGUUGCUCAAGAUGCCUCAGAUCUGAUCGCUCUGCAUCAGGUCUUUCGAGCAUUCUCCUCCUACGCAAGUCUGAUGCCUUGUGAACUUGAGCUGUUAACAAAUAUCUGGAUGCUGAAAGAUGGCAAAUUCGAUCUGAGGAACAUAGUAAGUAUCCAGUUUCCAUUCAUACUGGAAAACAUGGUUAUCCAUUACUGUACCGACAUCGUAAAGCUGCAGAACAGUUCGCAAGUUGCAUCGUACUUCUGCUCGUUGAGUUCCGAUCCGAAAUUGCUACUUUUGCGCCAAGCUUGUGCCCGACAUCGUCUUCUAUAUUUAAAGUUAAAAAAUUGCAUCUUUCAGUUGUAUGUUCACAGUGUUUGUAAUCGAAAUAUUUACAGAUUUAUUGAUUACAUUUUAUGAGAGGUUGGUUGGAAGUAUCUCUAACGGUUAUUGUAGUACUCUUGUAUAAAACUUUGAGAUCUGGAUAAUCGUGCAGAGAGGGCACCACCACUUGGAUCUCAUAUGGAAACCAUGUGAUUUGUGAAACAUAAAUUUUACCUUUGGGGGGGUUUUCAGCUGGUGAUAAAAGCCGAAAAGUGAGGUUGAUUUAGGCCUAUUUGUCGAAAAUUGUGGUCGAAAAUACGUCUUAAGUGGCAAUUCGAGAUUAAACGCUUGAGCAAUGGCGGUUUUGCUGGUAGAUUUUUCGCUUGAAGAAGGUUUCUACGAUACCCAGAGCUCAGUUUUGGAGUUACUUAAUAAACUUGAGAAUGCCGUCAAGCAAGGGUUUUCCUCCCUGCAGCGAAUCAAUAACUUUAGUUUGGAGGGCAGUUGGAUUCGCAUUCUCACUUCUGAGGCUUCAAUGAUAACGAUGCGAAUCUUCCCCAAUCAAUUGGGCCAUAUCACCAUAGAUUGUUAUGCGAAGGACUCAGAAACACCUUCUGCAAGUCUUGAGGUAGUUCGAGAAAUUGAGCGCCACAUUAAAGCCGCAGUACGUGGGAUCAAAAGUAUUCGUGCUUUGCCAAAUUUGCAAGCCGAUAAAGCCGUUCGGUAUUAUCUUACUUCAGAUAACAGGGUAGUGGAGUAUGAUGUUACUGCCCUCGUCUUCGACGAAACCACCCCUUACCAAAAGGUACAAAUCGUCAAAUCCAAAACCAUGGGAAAUAUAUUGGUCUUAGACGACUUGCAAAAUCUGGGUGAAAUGGAUUUGCCCUACACACAUACAUUGAUGGGAAAAAACGUAGAGAAAUACGAGGGCAAAGAGGUCCUGAUUCUAGGCGGAGGUGACGGGGCUCUGCUAUACGAAUUGUUACAAGAAAACCCCAAAGAAGUGGUCAUGGUUGAGCUGGACGAGGUCGUGAUUAAAGCCUGCUCCAAAUACAUGAGAUCCGUUUGCGGAGACGCGAUGGACAACUACGAUGGACCUCAUCAUAAGAUAAUAAUUGGCGAUUGUUUGCCCGUUCUCGAACAGUACAUCGGCGAGGGCAGACGGUUCGAUUAUGUUUUUGGCGAUCUUACUGACGUGCCCAUUUCGGUCGACAAAUCUUUGGAAUUGUGGGCCUUCAUUAACAAGGUGCUGAAACUGAGUUUUCAAGUCUUGAAGCCUGAUGGGAAAUUCAUGACUCACGUGACUGGCCAAGGUUGUACCGAAGCUUUGGAGGCUUAUAAACAAUGCCUGGAUCGACUGCAGCCUGCAGUGAAAUACGAAACGUCCUCAAAUUUCGUGCCCAGCUUCCACGAGACCUGGGUUUUCUGUCAAGUUAGUUUUAAGAACGGCGAAGCAGCGACAAAUCAGCAGACCGAAUAACGAUACGUUUCGAUUUGCCUAUUUGUUACUUGAGGGCGUCUAUUUGCAAGCAAGCCCUCAGAUCAGAACGGCUCACAUGAGUCUGGACUAACUAUUCUUUUUCAAUUAACGAGAACUAGUUUAGUCCCCCAGCCCCAACCAAGUUGCUUUUUGCCAUAAGCUAGAGUCAGUAUUUUUCUACAAAUGUGUUCCUCGCUUCGUUCCGAAAAUUUGCGCUAUAUUUAGAUCUUAAGGAGCAAUUCGUAUGUAAGCAGACUGAGCUGUGGAAGCGCGGAUAUCAAGCGGGCGGUGAAGGCGAUCGUCUUGGCCCGGCAAAGUGGUACCAUUGGGUGCAAUAUAGCAGUAGCCGUUCGACCAGAAUUUCACGCUGGUUAUUCUGCAUAUCAUUUUUGGCUGGUGCGGGAGCUUCGCGGUUUGUUAGGCUUGUGGUACCGGUGCCGGGUGUUUAUUUACGUACGCUUGUUCAAUUGGUUCGGAGUUCGAAGCAUGAAAUAAAGUGAACGUAAUUUGGAAAGUACCGUAUCACUGUCAUUGCCGCACUGAAAACGCAAACGAACACUUUGUCGGUACCAUACGCAAGACGCUGGUGCCGAACCAUCGUUGCCUGAGUGGAAGUUGUGUUGUUUUGUGAACGAAAGCACUACGGGAUGAUGAUUUACUCGAGUGGUUCCCGUAGGGUGUUUUGGGGUAAGUACCCAAAGCCAUUGGGGGUUGAGUUAGUUGAGUGAAAUUAUUAUUU